UGCCAAUGAGGAAAGCAAGCAUCCUGUCUUACCCCUGUUCUAGCCCCAGAGCCUGUAAUGGUGAACUCACUGGAGCUAACUGGGAGAGAGGACGAUAACUUGUUUGAUAAGGAACUGUCUAAGAUAC
Balaenoptera musculus (blue whale) is the source of this 127-nucleotide small nucleolar RNA. Its record names the gene SNORD22. It matches the Rfam family "Small nucleolar RNA SNORD22". From Rfam's summary of the family: U22 is a member of the C/D class of snoRNA which contain the C (UGAUGA) and D (CUGA) box motifs. U22 is encoded within the U22 snoRNA host gene (UHG) in mammals and has also been identified in Xenopus. U22 is thought to as a 2'-O-ribose methylation guide for ribosomal RNA. NCBI's taxonomy places the organism in Eukaryota, Metazoa, Chordata, Mammalia, Artiodactyla, Balaenopteridae. The record is from Ensembl.